This 253-nucleotide ribosomal RNA is filed under the name uncultured bacterium. RNAcentral's name for it is "partial 16S ribosomal RNA". It matches the Rfam family "Bacterial small subunit ribosomal RNA", at positions 524 to 776 of the family's 1533-position model. The record is from RNAcentral.
UACGGGGGGGGCAAGCGUUGUUCGGAAUUACUGGGCGUAAAGGGCUCGUAGGCGGCCAACUAAGUCAGACGUGAAAUCCCUCGGCUUAACCGGGGAACUGCAUCUGAUACUGGAUGGCUUGAGUUCGGGAGAGGGAUGCGGAAUUCCAGGUGUAGCGGUGAAAUGCGUAGAUAUCAGGAGGAACACCCGUGGCGAAGGCAGCCUUCUGGGGCAUUCCUGACACUGAGAAGCGAAAGCUAGGGGAGCAAACAGG